UUAAUUGAAGCCAAAAUAGCGGCCUAUCACUGUUAAUGAUACCAUUGAAUCUAGAAUUCCAAUUAAG
RNAcentral lists this transfer RNA (67 nucleotides) under Paragnetina indentata. RNAcentral's name for it is "tRNA-Asn". Lineage: Eukaryota; Metazoa; Arthropoda; Insecta; Plecoptera; Perlidae. The record is from RNAcentral.